GGAGAGGUCCGCACGUUUGGCAUGUGCAGCGGUCUGAAAAACCGUCGGCUCUCUAGGCUUCGCGGGUUCGAAUCCCGUCCUCUCCG
This 86-nucleotide transfer RNA is filed under the name Chloroflexota bacterium. RNAcentral's name for it is "Chloroflexi bacterium tRNA-Phe". It matches the Rfam family "tRNA". Rfam says of the family: Transfer RNA (tRNA) molecules are approximately 80 nucleotides in length. Their secondary structure includes four short double-helical elements and three loops (D, anti-codon, and T loops). Further hydrogen bonds mediate the characteristic L-shaped molecular structure. tRNAs have two regions of fundamental functional importance: the anti-codon, which is responsible for specific mRNA codon recognition, and the 3' end, to which the tRNAs corresponding amino acid is attached (by aminoacyl-tRNA synthetases). tRNAs cope with the degeneracy of the genetic code in two manners: having more than one tRNA (with a specific anti-codon) for a particular amino acid; and 'wobble' base-pairing, i.e. permitting non-standard base-pairing at the 3rd anti-codon position. The record is from RNAcentral. Lineage: Bacteria; Bacillati; Chloroflexota.